This 626-nucleotide long non-coding RNA is filed under the name Aotus nancymaae (Ma's night monkey). RNAcentral's name for it is "lncRNA (ENSANAG00000038895.1)". The record is from RNAcentral. Lineage: Eukaryota; Metazoa; Chordata; Mammalia; Primates; Aotidae.
AUGAGCUAGUUGGUGGCUGUGGCCCUUGCCUAGUGGUCCCAGGGUAGCCCUAGCUUUGUUCAGGGCAGCCAGUGGGUCAGUGGAGGUGCUCUCAGGACCUGCAGUGAGGCAUAGCUGGGGCUUCUUGUGCGAGACCAGUUACCCACCUGACCUGACCUUCCAGGGUUUGGUAGCGGGGAGGGCCAAGAGUGCUCUGUGCCCAUGUCUGUGAUGGAUCAGUGUUCCGCAUGGAUCCCAUCACAUGGGUAUUCCUUACUCACCUUUCCUGCAUGAAGUAAUGAGACCCUAUUUGGACACAUGUCCUCCUGCUGUCCCUCUAGAUGGUGAACCCAGAGAAAGACUUACAUUGGGCCCAGUGUCUCUGGACCAGUGUCCGUCAGCCAUUGUCCAGCCCCUGGUGCACUGAAGCUCAGGCCCUUCCUGGCAUCCUGGUCUCCUGCACUGAGCUGUGUGAGCUCUUCUGCUCAGGUGGGUCCCCUGGCAUUGACUGGCAUAGAUGGUGAGCCCAGAGGAAGACUUGCAUUGGGAGGUUAUCAGCCAGAGGCUCAGGCCCUAUUGGAACAAAACUUGGGCCCUUUCUGAUGCCCUGGUCUCCUGCAUGGAGCUGGUGAGCCCAUCCGGGUCCU